GCGUGUGUGAAGAAGGCUUUCGGGGUUGUAAAGCAAUUUCAGUCAGGAGGAAAGGUUAGUAGUUAAUACCUGCUAGCUGUGACGUUACUGACAGAAGAAGCACCGGCUAACUCCGUGCCAGCAGCCGCGGUAAUACGGAGGGUGCGAGCGUUAAUCGGAAUUACUGGGCGUAAAGCGUACGCAGGCGGUUUGUUAAGCGAGAUGUGAAAGCCCCGGGCUCAACCUGGGAACUGCAUUUCGAACUGGCAAACUAGAGUGUGAUAGAGGGUGGUAGAAUUUCAGGUGUAGCGGUGAAAUGCGUAGAGAUCUGAAGGAAUACCGAUGGCGAAGGCAGCCACCUGGGUCAACACUGACGCUCAUGUACGAAAGCGUGGGGAGCAAACAGGAUUAGAUACCCUGGUAGUCCACGCCGUAAACGAUGUCUACUAGAAGCUCGGAGCCUCGGCUCUGUUUUUCAAAGCUAACGCAUUAAGUAGACCGCCUGGGGAGUACGGCCGCAAGGUUAAAACUCAAAUGAAUUGACGGGGGCCCGCACAAGCGGUGGAGCAUGUGGUUUAAUUCGAUGCAACGCGAAGAACCUUACCUACACUUGACAUACAGAGAACUUACCAGAGAUGGUUUGGUGCCUUCGGGAACUCUGAUACAGGUGCUGCAUGGCUG
Molecule: ribosomal RNA, 660 nt
Filed under: Pseudoalteromonas sp. V4.BE.01
Lineage: Bacteria; Pseudomonadati; Pseudomonadota; Gammaproteobacteria; Alteromonadales; Pseudoalteromonadaceae
Description: bacterial SSU rRNA
Rfam family: Bacterial small subunit ribosomal RNA
Source: RNAcentral